GGCUAGUUGGCCUAGUGGUAUGAUUCUCGCUUUGGGUGUGAGAGGUCCCGGGUUCAAACCCCAGACGAGCCC
Molecule: transfer RNA, 72 nt
Filed under: Loxodonta africana (African savanna elephant)
Lineage: Eukaryota; Metazoa; Chordata; Mammalia; Proboscidea; Elephantidae
Rfam family: tRNA
About the family: Transfer RNA (tRNA) molecules are approximately 80 nucleotides in length. Their secondary structure includes four short double-helical elements and three loops (D, anti-codon, and T loops). Further hydrogen bonds mediate the characteristic L-shaped molecular structure. tRNAs have two regions of fundamental functional importance: the anti-codon, which is responsible for specific mRNA codon recognition, and the 3' end, to which the tRNAs corresponding amino acid is attached (by aminoacyl-tRNA synthetases). tRNAs cope with the degeneracy of the genetic code in two manners: having more than one tRNA (with a specific anti-codon) for a particular amino acid; and 'wobble' base-pairing, i.e. permitting non-standard base-pairing at the 3rd anti-codon position.
Source: Rfam by way of RNAcentral